Molecule: unclassified non-coding RNA, 89 nt
Filed under: Pseudomonas sp. NFACC04-2
Lineage: Bacteria; Pseudomonadati; Pseudomonadota; Gammaproteobacteria; Pseudomonadales; Pseudomonadaceae
Source: RNAcentral
UGUGGGAGCGAGCUUGCUCGCGAUGGCGGUAUGUCAGCCAAGAGCUUUUUCACUGACACUCCGCCAUCGCGAGCAAGCUCGCUCCCACA